Molecule: non-coding RNA, 703 nt
Organism: Paramormyrops kingsleyae
Lineage: Eukaryota; Metazoa; Chordata; Actinopteri; Osteoglossiformes; Mormyridae
Source: RefSeq, a predicted model, not a curated record
UCCGGCAGUUAACCGGAAAUGUGUCUUAUUCGGUGUUGCGGUAUAAAUAAUGCAUGAGCCGUGGGCAAGUUAAUCAGUCCCACCGCAAAUGAUGAGCAGUUUUUGAACAGUGGGUUAUUAAGCGGGGGGAACUCAAGAUCAUAGUCUGCUAUAAAGUAAUCUUAUCUUAAAAUAGUGAGUGCUUAACAUAUAUUAGUAUUAUGGUAGAGAGAUUUUAGCUAACCAGUGUAGUUUGUUUACUCAUAUAGAAUACCUAGGUGACGUUAGUCUUUUAUUAAUAGAAAUGAAUUGUUUACAUUAAGUUUGCAUUAAGUCUAAAUAGGAAAAAUAUGCAUUUAGUUAUAAAAGGAUAUAGGCUUGCACUUCUUUUUAAGGCAAAAUGUUUAUUGCUCUUAUAUUUAAAUUCUUACAAUAUAACAAUUGGUAAUCAUUUACAAAGGGUUUAGUUGGUUGUAUUUUGAAAGCAGUCGUUUCAGUUUGUUUUCACCGUAGAUUGUAAAAGCAGGGAUUUGCUGUGCCUUUCAGAGGGCUGCUGCUGUCUGUGAAUUCAGUGUUAAACCCCAGACCUCCAGUCGGCGUGUCUGACACCAUGACCAUUCAAGGAUCCCCAUGCUGGAUUCAGCAAAUCAGCCACAAGACAAAACCAAGCCCCUCCAUGCUUCACAAAACAAAUGAAUGAUGAUUAUAUGAAACUAACGACACC